GAAUGGGCGCAGCUGAUCCAGCCAUUCCGCGUGCAGGACGAAGGCCCUCGGGUUGUAAACUGCUUUUGUACGGAACGAAAAGCCUUGGGCUAAUACCCCGAGGUCAUGACGGUACCGUAAGAAUAAGCACCGGCUAACUACGUGCCAGCAGCCGCGGUAAUACGUAGGGUGCAAGCGUUAAUCGGAAUUACUGGGCGUAAAGCGUGCGCAGGCGGUCUUGUAAGACAGAGGUGAAAUCCCCGGGCUUAACCUGGGAACUGCGUUUGUAACUGGCAGGCUGGAGUGUGGCAGAGGGGGGUGGAAUUCCAAGUGUAGCAGUGAAAUGCGUAGAUAUUUGGAGGAACACCGAUGGCGAAGGCAGCCCCCUGGGCUAACACUGACGCUCAUGCACGAAAGCGUGGGGAGCAAACAGGAUUAGAUACCCUGGUAGUCCACGCCCUAAACUAUGUCAACUGGUUGUCGGGGGAGCAAUCCCUUGGUAACGAAGCUAACGCGUGAAGUUGACCGCCUGGGGAGUACGGCCGCAAGGUUAAAACUCAAAGGAAUUGACGGGGACCCGCACAAGCGGUGGAUUAUGUGGAUUAAUUCGAUGCAACGCGAAAAAUCUUACCUACCCUUGACAUGUACGGAACCUCGCAGA
RNAcentral lists this ribosomal RNA (640 nucleotides) under uncultured archaeon. Its description in RNAcentral is "bacterial SSU rRNA". It matches the Rfam family "Bacterial small subunit ribosomal RNA", at positions 369 to 1004 of the family's 1533-position model. The record is from RNAcentral.